GCGAUAAUGGUGUAGUGGUAACAUUCUGGCUUCCCAUGCCUGAGCGCAGGGUUCGAUUCCCUGUUAUCGCA
This is a transfer RNA of 71 nucleotides. It matches the Rfam family "tRNA". Rfam says of the family: Transfer RNA (tRNA) molecules are approximately 80 nucleotides in length. The record is from Rfam.